RNAcentral lists this ribosomal RNA (339 nucleotides) under Triticum aestivum (bread wheat). Its description in RNAcentral is "partial small subunit ribosomal RNA". The record is from RNAcentral. Lineage: Eukaryota; Viridiplantae; Streptophyta; Magnoliopsida; Poales; Poaceae.
AUGGAUCUUCUUAGGGAUGUGAUUAUUGGCCCUAAGGGAACACCCUACCAUGAUGGCCUCUUCUUCUUUGAUGCACAUUUUACCUCUGAUUAUCCUUCUGAGCCUCCUUGGUGUAUUGCCAUUCUGGAGGGCUUCGACUUAAUCCGAACUUUUUAUAAUUGUGGAGAAGUCUGCCUUCGCCUCCUUGGUACCUGGAGUGGUAGUGGUUGCGAGAAGUGGAACUCAGCUCACUCAACAAUGCUGCAGGUGCUUGUGUCCAUUCAGGCUCUCAUUUUGAAUGAGAAGCCAUACUUCAAUGAGCUGGGAUAUGCAGGCUCUGCGAAUACCGCAACUGGAUAA